AUUUAAUCGAAGACGGAAACCAACGCUAUACUUCUAAACUUGUUUCCCAUCAGUAAAACACCUUUUUUCUAGGGUUGCUCACCACCCCACAGCUCCCUCACUUAGCGCAGAAUGCCUUCAACUUCUUACUGCAGAAGGACCAGCUGGAAUCUUCUUCAUAUGCCAGCACACACAUACACUGAGGAUCUAUAUGGUGAAAAUUAAUAAAAGGAAACUUUAUUUAAAAUGGAGUCAGGAGGCCAGAAGGGGGCGCUCCCACACAGUACCACUGAAGGGCAGUUACAGGAAGGAUUGUCAACAAGACCCAACAAGAAGAACGGUCAACAGGAAAGAAUGGUAAAUUAGAGGCCUCAACAGGAAAGAUGCACAUUGCAUUUCCUGGAGGAAAUUGACUACCCCAGCAACUAAGCCAAUGAGAACCUGUCAUCACCUGAACUCCUGCGUUCUUCGGAUGGACUUCCUCUCAAAACAAACCCUCCCAACUACCUCCCUUUUCUCUGUAAAAUAACAUUCCCCUCUUUUGCUUGCUGGAUUUGCCUGUGGUCUGCCAUAGUGUCACCAGUGUAUUCCCUAAGUAACUCGAAGGAAGUUUAAAGGAGCUUAACACUCCCUCAAGGUUGUUUUUCAGAGCCAUGUCAGCAUCAACCAGCCUGAACCAGAUCAAGCCCCACUGCAAGGGCAGCACCUGCGCAGAUGACCUGAAGAUGACCAGAAAAUGCCCUCUUCCUCAUCUCAGUACUGUAAUCUCCAGCCUAGGAGGAGCCUAGGUCUUAGUAGCAUAACACAUGAUUUACAUGAGAGCAUGUUUUCAGUCUGUGCCUGCACCAGCUGAUACCCACCUCUACAUGUGAUGAUGAAACUUCCCUUCUAAAUAUUCAUUCCCUCCUGAAACAAAAGGACCUGCUUCCCUUUGUUCAGGGAGUCCCAACUUUGGAAAUGAUUCUGCAUGGUCGCCUGUUUGCUGCAAAUAUACUUUAUUUUGUGUGACGACUGGUUCGGGUGGAGAGUCUGAUUUUAACUCACCAGGCAGUGAACUCAUCUUGCUUCAGUGGCAAUAGCACGCACGUCCUAAACUGCAGUUCUUUGGCUCUUUCAGAAUACACUUGUUUUGCAAAUAAAACGACUGUCUGAUUUACUUUUUAAGUUGACAUAUAUGGUGUCAGAAAGAGAGCUAAAGGAGGCAACCCCGAGAGACGACGACCUCUGGAACUGAGUGAGGUACCUGCACUGAACCCCUUGCACUUAUUGCUUCCAUGAGUUACUGCCUACUUUGAGUCUGGUGUGUCUCCUCUGGGAUUCCAAGGUCCACUCCCUUUGCAUUCUGAGCUCUCCCACUUCAUUCAGGGUUGGGAGAGGCUUUGUCCUUCCCGGUUCGAGGCUUCAUC
Molecule: long non-coding RNA, 1385 nt
Organism: Equus asinus (donkey)
Lineage: Eukaryota; Metazoa; Chordata; Mammalia; Perissodactyla; Equidae
Source: Ensembl